This is a long non-coding RNA of Nematostella vectensis (starlet sea anemone), 511 nucleotides long. RefSeq lists it as uncharacterized. The transcript has 2 exons. The record is from RefSeq and is a predicted model, not a curated record. Lineage: Eukaryota; Metazoa; Cnidaria; Anthozoa; Actiniaria; Edwardsiidae.
GACAUUUACAGUUCUUUGUUAGACCUUGCUCAUACAGUCAACAUGCUGUUUCCUCUAUUUCGUAAUCUCGUCUAUAAUAGCAAUUAAAUGACAUCACGGGUUUUGACAAUUGUAACCCUAAGUGCUUGAUGAUUAGUUCAUAGAAGUAAGGUUAGAUAGACGAGAUGACCUCCGCGUAAACGCAUAAUGAAAUAUCUAUCUUCAUUUAAGAAGGAAAUUCUGCGGGCAAAACACCGGACAAAAGAUCGCUUUCAUCACCGGCUGUUGAAGGACUCGAUGACUGUGAGGGGACCUCUUCGUUGUCUAUGAGACCAGCUUCCAUAGCACCGUCCUGAGCUGACAUGAUGCUCGUUUGCGCGCCUAACGUAUGGAAUUCGAUCUUUGGCGUACCUCUCACACGAGAAAACAGACUUGAUUGACAGCAGCUAAAUAUCUUUUACAUAAGUCUUUUAUUCUAUUUAAUUCCAGUGUAUCUAUUUAUUGAGGUAUAAAACUCAUGGUCAAAUGCCAA